Molecule: ribosomal RNA, 786 nt
Filed under: uncultured bacterium
Lineage: Bacteria
Description: bacterial SSU rRNA
Rfam family: Bacterial small subunit ribosomal RNA
Source: RNAcentral
AGAGUUUGAUCAUGGCUCAGAACGAACGCUGGCGGCGUGCUUAACACAUGCAAGUCGAGUGCGUGUCUGUAGCAAUACAGAUGGCGCACGGCGCACGGGUGCGUAACACGUGGGCAAUCUGCCCUUCGAUGGGGAAUAACUCCGGGAAACCGAAGCUAAUUCCGCAUAACAUUCCUUGGACUUCGGUUCGAGGAUUCAAAGCCGUAAGGCGUCGAAGGAGGAGCCCGCGCCCGAUUAGCUAGUUGGUGAGGUAACGGCUCACCAAGGCAAUGAUCGGUAGCUGGUCUGAGAGGAUGGCCAGCCACACUGGAACUGAGACACGGUCCAGACUCCUACGGGAGGCAGCAGUGGGGAAUCUUGCGCAAUGGGCGAAAGCCUGACGCAGCGACGCCGCGUGGGGGAUGAAGCAUUUCGGUGUGUAAACCCCUUUCGACUGGGACGAAUGCCUCGCAAGAGGAGUGACGGUACCAGUAGAAGAAGCCCCGGCUAACUACGUGCCAGCAGCCGCGGUAAGACGUAGGGGGCCAGCGUUGUUCGGAAUUACUGGGUGUAAAGGGUUCGUAGGCGGUGUGGCAAGUCGGGAGUGAAAUCUAUGGGCUUAACUCAUAGGCUGCUUCCGAAACUGCUGUGCUUGAGUGUGGGAGAGGCGCGUGGAAUUGCAGGUGUAGCGGUGAAAUGCGUAGAUAUCUGCAGGAACACCCGUGGCGAAAGCGGCGCGCUGGACCACAACUGACGCUGAGGAACGAAAGCUAGGGGAGCAAACAGGAUUAGAUACCCUAGUAGUCC